GGCGGACGGGUGAGUAAUGCUUGGGAAUAUGCCUUUUGGUGGGGGACAACAGUUGGAAACGACUGCUAAUACCGCAUGAUGUCUACGGACCAAAGUGGGGGACCUUCGGGCCUCACGCCAAGAGAUUAGCCCAAGUGGGAUUAGCUAGUUGGUAAGGUAAUGGCUUACCAAGGCGACGAUCCCUAGCUGGUUUGAGAGGAUGAUCAGCCACACUUGGACUGAGACACGGCCCAGACUCCUACGGGAGGCAGCAGUGGGGAAUAUUGCACAAUGGGCGCAAGCCUGAUGCAGCCAUGCCGCGUGUGUGAAGAAGGCCUUCGGGUUGUAAAGCACUUUCAGUAAGGAGGAAAGGUUAAGUUUUAAUAGGGCUUAGCUGCGACGUUACUUACAGAAGAAGCACCGGCUAACUCCGUGCCAGCAGCCGCGGUAAUACGGAGGGUGCGAGCGUUAAUCGGAAUUACUGGGCGUAAAGCGUAC
RNAcentral lists this ribosomal RNA (477 nucleotides) under uncultured Pseudoalteromonas sp. Its description in RNAcentral is "bacterial SSU rRNA". It matches the Rfam family "Bacterial small subunit ribosomal RNA", at positions 97 to 570 of the family's 1533-position model. Lineage: Bacteria; Pseudomonadati; Pseudomonadota; Gammaproteobacteria; Alteromonadales; Pseudoalteromonadaceae. The record is from RNAcentral.